RNAcentral lists this ribosomal RNA (896 nucleotides) under uncultured Arenimonas sp. Its description in RNAcentral is "bacterial SSU rRNA". It matches the Rfam family "Bacterial small subunit ribosomal RNA", at positions 32 to 922 of the family's 1533-position model. Lineage: Bacteria; Pseudomonadati; Pseudomonadota; Gammaproteobacteria; Lysobacterales; Lysobacteraceae. The record is from RNAcentral.
UAAGCUGGCGGCAUGCAUAACACAUGCAAGUCGAACGGCAGCGCGGGCUUCGGCCUGGCGGCGAGUGGCGGACGGGUGAGGAAUACAUAGGAAUCUGCCCAGUCGUGGGGGAUAACCCGGGGAAACCCGGACUAAUACCGCAUACGACGGUGACGUGAAAGCAGGGGACCUUCGGGCCUUGCGCGAUUGGAUGAGCCUAUGUCGGAUUAGCUAGUUGGCGGGGUAAAGGCCCACCAAGGCGACGAUCCGUAGCUGGUCUGAGAGGAUGAUCAGCCACACUGGGACUGAGACACGGCCCAGACUCCUACGGGAGGCAGCAGUGGGGAAUAUUGGACAAUGGGCGCAAGCCUGAUCCAGCAAUGCCGCGUGGGUGAAGAAGGCCUUCGGGUUGUAAAGCCCUUUUGUACGGGAAGAAAUCAUCCGGGUUAAUACCCUGGGUGGAUGACGGUACCGUAAGAAUAAGCACCGGCUAACUUCGUGCCAGCAGCCGCGGUAAUACGAAGGGUGCAAGCGUUAAUCGGAAUUACUGGGCGUAAAGCGUGCGUAGGUGGUUGUUUAAGUCUGUCGUGAAAGCCCUGGGCUCAACCUGGGAAUGGCGAUGGAUACUGGGCGACUGGAGUGCGGUAGAGGAUGGCGGAAUUCCCGGUGUAGCGGUGAAAUGCGUAGAGAUCGGGAGGAACAUCCGUGGCGAAGGCGGCCAUCUGGACCAACACUGACACUGAGGCACGAAAGCGUGGGGAGCAAACAGGAUUAGAUACCCUGGUAGUCCACGCCCUAAACGAUGCGAACUGGAUGUUGGUCUCAACUUGGAGGUCAGUGUCGAAGCUAACGCGUUAAGUUCGCCGCCUGGGGAGUACGGUCGCAAGACUGAAACUCAAAUGAAUUGACGGAAGGGC